CCAUUUUGUAACUGGCUGCUGCUUCCUGGAUCUCCUCAUCCAGCUGGAAGAAUGUAACACUGACUCAGAGCUUGGAGGGGAAAUAGGAUGGUGCUGAGGAGAGAACAUAGUGUGUCUGGCUCUGACUCAAGCACUCAGCUGGUUGUGUGAGCUAAUGACAGAAGACUGGUCUUUCCUGUGUGUGACAACAGUGGAUUCCCUGCCUCUGAUGUAUUAUAUUUCACAUCUCAUCCCCAAAGAUUUCUUCAUCCAUCUGGUUUAAUUUUGGGAGAGGACAGCAGAAACUUGUAGAACAUGGAAGCAGAACUCUUUGUUUUGGCUGUUUUGAAGUGGAAUCAGCAAUACCCAUACAAUGCUGGCAUCCUACUGCUGACACAAGGACGAUGGUGAUAUGGAUUGGAAAGAAACUGCAUGUAUACACUAUUACUUCUGGCAUAUAUUGGCUUUUUAAGAGCACUCUCCUUUCAAGAGGAUCAAAGGCUUUCAUGUGCUUAUUUUGGGACAUAAAAUAAAAGAUAGCUGUGAAAAGACUGGCUGUUCCAUUGCAUCAGAAUUAGUGAAGAAUUCGCACCAGUUUCAAGAGUGCAGAGAAGAAAGAGAGAGCCACUCCUGCAGAUAAUUUAGCACCUGUAAAUAUACAUGGAAUGUAAUCACAAAAUGAAUAGCCCAAUGGACAAGUCUCUGCUUUGCUUGCUUAUUAAUACAAAACAAUUAAGUUUAAAACCCUGUUAAACUGCAAAAUUAAAUUUUCUAUUAAAUUCUGUACCCUAACAUUAACAUGUUUAUAUAAUGUCUAUCACUUUUCUGAAGCAAAAACUGAAAUGCUAUCCAGUGCAAGCUUGUAACAUGUACUGUAGUGUGUUUAGAAGAGCAGUUCAGAUGCAUAAAGCUACAGUAUCUAGAUAAAUAGUCACAUUAUUCCUAAUUGAGUCUUGUUUACCUUGACCAUUUUA
Long non-coding RNA from Mauremys reevesii (Reeves's turtle), 953 nucleotides. RefSeq lists it as uncharacterized. The transcript is spliced from 7 exons. The record is from RefSeq and is a predicted model, not a curated record. Lineage: Eukaryota; Metazoa; Chordata; Testudines; Geoemydidae.